GACGAACGCUGGCGGCGUGCCUAAUACAUGCAAGUCGAACGCUUUUUCUUUCACCGGAGCUUGCUCCACCGAAAGAAAAAGAGUGGCGAACGGGUGAGUAACACGUGGGUAACCUGCCCAUCAGAAGGGGAUAACACUUGGAAACAGGUGCUAAUACCGUAUAACACUAUUUUCCGCAUUGAAGAAAGUUGAAAGGCGCUUUUGCGUCACUGAUGGAUGGACCCUGGUUGCAUUAGCUAGUUGGUGAGGUAACGGCUCACCAAGGCAACGAUGCAUAGCGGACCUGAGAGGGUGAUCGGCCACACUGGGACUGAGACACGGCCCAGACUCCUACGGGAGGCAGCAGUAGGGAAUCUUCGGCAAUGGACGAAAGUCUGACCGAGCAACGCCGCGUGAGUGAAGAAGGUUUUCGGAUCGUAAAACUCUGUUGUUAGAGAAGAACAAGGAUGAGAGUAAAACGUUCAUCACUUGACGGUAUCUAACCAGAAAGCCACGGCUAACUACGUGCCAGCAGCCGCCGUAA
Molecule: ribosomal RNA, 523 nt
Filed under: uncultured bacterium
Lineage: Bacteria
Description: partial 16S ribosomal RNA
Rfam family: Bacterial small subunit ribosomal RNA
Source: RNAcentral